This 497-nucleotide ribosomal RNA is filed under the name uncultured bacterium. RNAcentral describes it as "partial 16S ribosomal RNA". It matches the Rfam family "Bacterial small subunit ribosomal RNA", at positions 28 to 507 of the family's 1533-position model. The record is from RNAcentral.
GAUGAACGCUGGCGGCGUGCCUAAUACAUGCAAGUCGAGCGAACGGACGAGAAGCUUGCUUCUCUGACGUUAGCGGCGGGCGGGUGAGUAACACGUGGAUAACCUACCUAUAAGACUGGGAUAACUUCGGGAAACCGGAGCUAAUACCGGAUAAUAUUUUGAACCGCAUGGUUCAAAAGUGAAAGACGGUCUUGCUGUCACUUAUAGAUGGAUCCGCGCUGCAUUAGCUAGUUGGUAAGGUAACGGCUUACCAAGGCAACGAUGCAUAGCCGACCUGAGAGGGUGAUCGGCCACACUGGAACUGAGACACGGUCCAGACUCCUACGGGAGGCAGCAGGAGGGAAUCUUCCGCAAUGGGCGAAAGCCUGACGGAGCAACGCCGCGUGAGUGAUGAAGGUCUUCGGAUCGUAAAACUCUGUUAUUAGGGAAGAACAUAUGUGUAAGUAACUGUGCACAUCUUGACGGUACCUAAUCAGAAAGCCACGGCUAACUACGUG